RNAcentral lists this transfer RNA (73 nucleotides) under Daphnia galeata. It matches the Rfam family "tRNA". Rfam says of the family: Transfer RNA (tRNA) molecules are approximately 80 nucleotides in length. Their secondary structure includes four short double-helical elements and three loops (D, anti-codon, and T loops). The record is from Rfam by way of RNAcentral. Lineage: Eukaryota; Metazoa; Arthropoda; Branchiopoda; Diplostraca; Daphniidae.
GCCCGGUUAGCUCAUUCGGUAGAGCGCGUGACUUUCAAUGCUGAGGUUAAGGGUUCAUGACCCUUAUCGGGCG